GACGAACGCUGGUGGCGUGCUUAACACAUGCAAGUCGAACGGAAAGGCCCUGCUUUUGUGAGGUGCUCGAGUGGCGAACGGGUGAGUAACACGUGAGUAACCUGCCCUUGACUUUGGGAUAACUUCAGGAAACUGGGGCUAAUACCGGAUAGGAGCUCCUGCUGCAUGGUGGGGGUUGGAAAGUUUCGGCGGUUGGGGAUGGACUCGCGGCUUAUCAGCUUGUUGGUGGGGUAGUGGCUUACCAAGGCUUUGACGGGUAGCCGGCCUGAGAGGGUGACCGGCCACAUUGGGACUGAGAUACGGCCCAGACUCCUACGGGAGGCAGCAGUGGGGAAUAUUGCACAAUGGGCGGAAGCCUGAUGCAGCAACGCCGCGUGCGGGAUGACGGCCUUCGGGUUGUAAACCGCUUUCGCCUGUGACGAAGCGUGAGUGACGGUAAUGGGUAAAGAAGCACCGGCUAACUACGUG
Molecule: ribosomal RNA, 468 nt
Filed under: uncultured bacterium
Lineage: Bacteria
Description: partial 16S ribosomal RNA
Rfam family: Bacterial small subunit ribosomal RNA
Source: RNAcentral